GGAGAGCAGCUGCGGGAGGAGAGGUGCAGCUAGAGGGUGAGAGGUGGGAAGCAGGGAAGCCCAGCAAGAGGUCACCAGAGGAAGCACAAACCUGAGAAUCUUGGCACUCAGAAGGUAGGGGGUUGUGGCAAGAUUUGAGAGGCACUGCAAAGUUGGGGGGACACAAUGAUGGAGUCCCUGCACUUAGGGGAAUGGGGCUGGAGUCACUGCUUGGAUAUUACAGGGCAGGCACGCCAGUUAGACAGCCUGAAGGAAGGAGUGGAUGGAUUUCUCUUCUUGGAGACCUUCGGCAACAUUUGGACGAGGCACAGCCUGGGUAAUGAGGAAGUCCCUGCAACACAGCUCACUGCCUUCAAGAUUUCCAGAUGCACAGAGAAGAGGACUGUGUUUCUCAAAACAGAGAUGGAGGUGACAACCCUAGGCCUAUGCCUCAUCCCCAGCAGGUGACCAAUGGAGGAAAAUAAAACAGAACUUCAACAUGCUCUCCGAUGAGCUUGAACCCCUGGUACUGGUUGCUCUGAGAAGCCACAGGUUUCCUUCCUUGGACAAUUUCAGAGCCCAUCAAUAUGGUUUAUGGAAAGGAAGUGGCAAUGAGAGAGACCCUUGCUUCUCCUGGCAGCUCUUCUCCCUUGAGAAAGCUCCUCAACUUCUCCUGAGCUUGGUUUCAGAAGUGAUUGUUCAUCCUCUCCCAUUGGGAGUUCUUCUGGGAUGGGCUCUGUAUAUUCCUCCAGCAGCAGGGGGAUGGAUGAGAUGACCUUUUCAGGUCACUCAGGAGAUCCUCCAGUUUCUCAGGAUGAUCUAAGCAUCUCCCUUUCCUUUAGAAGCUGUCAGAGCUAACUAAGCGUGGGUGUGGGCUCCUCAGCAGCUACACCACCUCCCCUCCAAUAUUUAAAAGAUCUUUCCUGGUUCUUAGGGUCUCCUAAUCACAGCUCUUUUUUUCUGAGCUCUGCCUGAAAGGCCACAUCCGUUUUUUCCCUGAAAGCUGGCUAGGUCCUCUGGGCUAAACACG
RNAcentral lists this long non-coding RNA (1009 nucleotides) under Macaca mulatta (Rhesus monkey). RNAcentral describes it as "lncRNA (ENSMMUG00000064064.1)". The record is from RNAcentral. Lineage: Eukaryota; Metazoa; Chordata; Mammalia; Primates; Cercopithecidae.